AUUAUUCAGAGUUUUGAACUGGCUCAGGAUGAACGCUGGCGGCGUGCCUAAUACAUGCAAGUCGAGCGAAUGGAUUAAGAGCUUGCUCUUAUGAAGUUAGCGGCGGACGGGUGAGUAACACGUGGGUAACCUGCCCAUAAGACUGGGAUAACUCCGGGAAACCGGGGCUAAUACCGGAUAACAUUUUGAACCGCAUGGUUCGAAAUUGAAAGGCGGCUUCGGCUGUCACUUAUGGAUGGACCCGCGUCGCAUUAGCUAGUUGGUGAGGUAACGGCUCACCAAGGCAACGAUGCGUAGCCGACCUGAGAGGGUGAUCGGCCACACUGGGACUGAGACACGGCCCAGACUCCUACGGGAGGCAGCAGUAGGGAAUCUUCCGCAAUGGACGAAAGUCUGACGGAGCAACGCCGCGUGAGUGAUGAAGGCUUUCGGGUCGUAAAACUCUGUUGUUAGGGAAGAACAAGUGCUAGUUGAAUAAGCUGGCACCUUGACGGUACCUAACCAGAAAGCCACGGCUAACUACGUGCCAGCAGCCGCGGUAAUACGUAGGUGGCAAGCGUUAUCCGGAAUUAUUGGGCGUAAAGCGCGCGCAGGUGGUUUCUUAAGUCUGAUGUGAAAGCCCACGGCUCAACCGUGGAGGGUCAUUGGAAACUGGGAGACUUGAGUGCAGAAGAGGAAAGUGGAAUUCCAUGUGUAGCGGUGAAAUGCGUAGAGAUAUGGAGGAACACCAGUGGCGAAGGCGACUUUCUGGUCUGUAACUGACACUGAGCGCGAA
RNAcentral lists this ribosomal RNA (775 nucleotides) under Bacillus cereus. RNAcentral's name for it is "bacterial SSU rRNA". It matches the Rfam family "Bacterial small subunit ribosomal RNA", at positions 1 to 757 of the family's 1533-position model. Lineage: Bacteria; Bacillati; Bacillota; Bacilli; Caryophanales; Bacillaceae. The record is from RNAcentral.